GGGACAGUAAGAAGGACAAACAGUACAGAACACAGAGUUUCAUAAGAAACUAUCUUUUUGCAGUUCAACAAUAUGUUGCCAGAGUGUCAACUGCCAUUCCCUAAAAUUUCACAGGAAGUAAUGAAUAGAUACCAAGACCAGAAAUCUCUUCACUCCCAUAGCUGCUUCUCUACACGUCCUAAAGCCCCGAUCACCAUCUAAAAUUUCCAGCUCUUUGAACAAGACACUUGAAAUAUCUGAAACUGCGAGUUACGGCAAGAAUUCAGACUGAUAGACUUAGAAGGCUAUGAAGACAGAAGCUGGUGCUGCUUCUCCAAGCUGAGAAAAGGCAAACUAGGUCAUGAAGUUGAUAAAGCAAAAGGCUACCAAUCGAAUGUUAGCAGUUGCUUCUGAUACUUAAAAGCAAGAUCUGGCAGCAUUUUGUUAAAAAAUAAACUAAAAUUGGCCAAAACGCAUUCUCUUAAACGUGUAAAUGCAUCAAUUUCAACCAAAGGUGCUUCAGAAAUGUGUGUUUUUGUCAAAAUGUCUUUUUGGUUGAACAAGUCAACAGAUCAACAGAUCUCCCUAAGAAAGAGGCUGCUGUAUUUUGAUCAGUAAUCAGCACUUUGCAAUCAUUUUUUACAUCUGUUCAGUAGUGCAACAAUUAUGUGAUACUCCAGAAAUGGUAGUGCAUGUCAAAGUAUUUCAUAACUGACAUGAUAUUAAAUGUAACAAAAAUAUAAAAAAUGCAAAAUCCAAACUGCAAAUUGCAGAACAAAAUUCAAAAAUCCCAAACCCUAAGCACAAAUAUACAAUAGAGUCGAGUGACUGCAAUUUUAUAUCAAACAUCACACUGAGAUUUUAGUCUCUUAGCUCUAUUGUGGAACGUACCUCACAAUAUGUUAAUGAAAUAAUAGAGAAUUUGUUCUAAAUUUAAGGCUCAAAGGCAAAUAAUCUCAUUACAAUAAGAACCAUAUUAUAAACUCAAUGAUGUUUCUGUUGUGGCUUAUUACUUGCAUGGUGAUCUGCCUCUGUUUUUUUCUAUUUGACAAGUUUCUUCAGUGUUCACAAUUUUACUUGACCUCAUUAAAGAGUUCCUGUCUGAAAAUUCCCACCAGACACCAUGAAAAGCUUAAGCUUUGCAUGGCUUGCAAAUCUGUCCUUAUUUACAAGCAUCACAUGCCAUCAAUGCACAGCAGAUCAGUGUCCAAUUAUCCUGAAUCUUCUGAUUCUACACAAAAGGGGCUUCCUUGCUGGUUCGUGUCACAGCUUCCCUACAUGCAGUAGCACACACUACAUUCAAAAGCAAGGUCUAGGAAGUGAUGAAAUCCUUGUGGAUCUCAGAUUCUGGAAAAUCUCUCCUUUGGAGAGAACUGCCACCCGAUGUGUUUGAUGCAGAGAGAAACUCCACUGUGCCUAAAUAGAUUUUACAAGUGCAUCAUGCACUUGCUGCACAAGGAUAGUCUUGUCAUAAAAGCACAUGGUGAUAAAUGUUCCUUUCUGAUACAAGGCAGAAUCCCACCCUUGUGCAAGGCCUCAAUUUGUCUAGCUCCCUCCUAGCUCAGACAUGUCAGCCAGUGCUCUGCACAUGGACUGCAGUCAGUGCAUCACCUAUAGGAAAAAUCAACUCUAAGGAACAGUUUGAGUGCUUUUAAAUAACAUGCACAAGCAAAAGUGCUAUUGCCCCAGCAAAAAGAAAAUAGCCUAGAUAAGAGGAGAACAAGAGUAAACUGUGUGUGCCAUUUUUUUUCUGCAUGUCUAAUGAUUACUUGACAGAAAGACUGAAGACAGCUUUUCUUUACUAAGGGUAUCUAACAAGCCAUGGUUACUAAAACAACUGCUAAUUAAAUUCUCCUGAGUUUUGGAAUCAUGGUCAGACAUUGUGCAGUGAAUGAAUAAAUCAUGAAGAAGUGCAAAUUUGCAGAAUACAGUCCCAAAUUCAUAAUAAUCAUAUAGAUGGGAGAAAAGAUAGGGAAAGUAUAUUCAAACUUUCUUUCUUUCCCGAACUUCAGCACACUAGCCAAUAAAUAUGUAGUGAAGGUGUUAUUAUAUUGGAACUAAUUAUAAAACAGAGACAAUAAAAGAACAAAAAAUGUGUUAGUUGAGUCCUGAACCUGGUGUUCCUACUGUAAGCUUAAAGAGAAAUUUAUAAGGAUAAAAUGCAUGACAUUUUUUUCAGAAAAUGCCAAAGCACUUAAUUCACUUUGGGCAAACAUUCUUGUUCUCCCUCAAUAGUUUCACACAGAAGAAAGAGUGCUCAGAACUAUGGGUGACUAAACACAUAAUUAAGGCAGGCAGAAACACAGCAAGAAACUGCUGCUACAGCCGGCAAGGAGCAGGGGAAGUUCGGGCCCAAAGGAGUGAGAGGAAACACCGAGCUUCUAUUUGGGAUACAGCUCUGCUCUCUUGCUUUGUCUCCUGGUCACCAGUGGUAAACAAGGCUGGAUAGGGAACAUAGGCGCUUUGGUUCAAAGAGGACUGCUUCAUAAGGCAGUGCAGCUCCCAACAACAUUUCAGAAAACAACAGUAGUUAGAAAAAAAUCCUAAAUGGAAUAAAGAAGACUGCAAGAUAUCUAAUGAAACUCCAGUACCAAUCUGCAUUGUAUAUUUUUUGGGAAUUCCCACGUUUCAAUGAUUAUAUUUCACUGUAUACAACAGGAGAUGCAGUACAGGAAUGCUGCUGUUUUUAUACAUCUGCAUCUCUUGUUUUCUUGCUUCUAGUAGGAUGAAAAAUAAUACAAGUCCUGACUGAGCACCUUUAAGCCUGAACAUGCGGGAAUUCUUCUGUAACUAUAAAAGGCAUGUCUAAUAAUGGCUAUAACGUUUUUGCUAUUAUUGAAGUACAAGCUGAAGCAAGUUUCUUGAAGCAACGGCUUACAUAACAUACCCUCCGUUUGCAAUUGUUUUGGUUCUGUAAGCAAAAUACAGAGAUUAAAGUGAGCAAGUAUAAAAUACUGAGUAAUCAAUCAGUUAAUGUCGUGAUUGUAAUAGUAGUGGCUGUAACCCCUUCUUUUGAUUAAGCAGCAAAACAAAAAUAAAGUUUAAAUAAUAAGAUGAGAAAAAGGAAAAAAGAAGAAGCAUGACUAUGUGUGUCUAAUAACUUGAUUUGCCAAGUAAGUUUGUAAUAGUUCUUCAAAAUAAAGUAAGAAUCAUAUUGGUC
Long non-coding RNA from Gallus gallus (chicken), 3139 nucleotides. RefSeq lists it as uncharacterized. The transcript has 3 exons. NCBI's taxonomy places the organism in Eukaryota, Metazoa, Chordata, Aves, Galliformes, Phasianidae. The record is from RefSeq and is a predicted model, not a curated record.